AGUUUGCUAUCUUGGACACUAAGAAGACUACGAUACUGUUCAUCUAGGGUUACCACAUACAAACCUACCAGUUUCUUGCCUAGACUCGAAAUCCUACUGCUCCCACUUCCAUUCACAGUUGUAUUGCUUCAUCUCGUACUUGCUCUCGCUAGCUAUCAUCUAUCUCCAAUGGUACUUUCAAUCUCCAUCAACCUUUCCAAACAGCUGUGGCUUAUGCUUUACAGGUUGUGCGUCUAAACCCUACCUCCCCUCUAAUUUGAUCUGGAGCAUGAGCAGUUCGUUGCUAUAAAUUGAACCAUUUUGUACUUUCAUUUUCACUUUGUGGUCUCAAGCCAGUGCCCUCUCUUUCUCUUUGCUGUAUUUCUGUUGAUUUUAUUUUGUGUGAAUCUGUAUUGGAGAUAUGAGUGGGCAUCGCACAGGUAUAAUAUAAAUUUGGUAUGAUGAUUGAUUUUGGGAUUCCAUUACCUGAUAAAAGGACUUUAGAACUUAUCCAUGGCAAACUUUAGAAGUAAGGGGUUUUGUCUCAUGUUUUCUUCUUCACUGUUUCUUUUUAGUUUGGGAGUGUAUCACAGUGAAUGAUUUUUUUAGUAUCUUGAAUAAUUGCAAUGUUAUGCCAAGUUUUCCAUGCUAUUUUUUUAUUGAUUUGGGAUUGAAUGAUGGCAGGAAGCAAAGACAUGGUGUGUGUGCAAAAAGAGGUGUGGAUUUUUAUUCCUGUAAAUGCAGGUGAUUCAAGAGAGUGGGAGCACACACACACUUCUACAAAAUAGUAUGGAUGAGGGGAGGUGGGUAUAUUUAAUGAACUUUAGAGAUCAUUUUAUCAGGUGGUGAUAUAGGCUGCCUAACUGCAUCAAAUGAUCACCUGCUAAAUCAUCACCACUUUUUGAUGCAAUUAGGACGCCAAGUAAAAGUUAUGGUUUGAAAUGCAAUUCAUCCUUAAAAUGAAAUCUUAUGUGGCUAUAUUUAAUAGCAUGUGAGGUUAAUAUUUAACAGGGCAAGAGAGGGUUAUUAGAGUUUUUUCAAACUGCAACUAUGUUUAGAUUCCUUAUGUGAAUUAUUCACCAGCUUAACCAAAUAUGUAUAUAAGCAAGGAGCCAUUGACUCAGCCCAAGAAUUGUGGUACUGGUGACUAAUCUAAUUACAAUUCUUUAAUUCCAGUUGCUUCAUUCAAUUUAUAAUUUGUAAGUUUUUAUUAUUAGACAUUGGAUCUAUUGGAUUAGCGGCAUGGACUCUUUGAACAUGGCUUUGUCUUCUUUGUGACUGUGUUUUUUAGUCAUCUCUAUAUUGAAAUGCUCAUUGCAAUUGAUUGGUUUCCUAGGUUACUGAGGGAGCUAGGAUUAUAGGAGUGGUUGCCAUCCCAGAAAAAAUUGAAAUCGGUGAUGGCUUCUUUGCUUAAUAACGCCAUAUCAUACAUUAACUUACCUGUUAUUACAAAUGUCAAAGAUGUGUUGUAGAAAUAGAUAGUAGGGUGGUCAGAAAAUUGUACUAACUGCUGAAGUUGAGAAGUGUAAAAGAGGAGUUGGCUGUAAACCAAUACCACACACAUGGUUCAACUAACGAAUUCUUGAAUAAUUUAUCUUUCUUCCCUCUUUUUUUUUGAACUCUUUCUUCCCUCUUUUUAUUCCAACUGAGUUUAUGUUCAUUUGUAUUAAUUUGUAAUUUAAUUAUGACAUACAAGUUGUUUUUAGGGGUGUUAGGCUAGGAGUCACUAUUUCGGAUCAAUGAGGAUUGACUUCAUUUUAAGUCCUGGUAUAUUGAUCUUAGUAACUGUACCAGUUCGAUUUACUUUAUUUAAUAUUUACCCUCAACCUUGCCCUGAUGUUAUUAUUUAACUCAUGUCCUCAAGUUGGUUGGUUGUACAUUAGAAACAUAGCUUUUGCUAUUUUAUUAUUGGCUUUAAAGCUAUUGUACAUGAAAUGUUUUUAAAAUAUAUGGUGGAGUUUUAAUGUUGAUUUAUUUGUUUCACAAUGUAUACCUGGAUACUUUGUUUAUAAUUUUCCUAUCUCUUUAAAGUGGCUUUUAGAUUUUCCUAUUGAUCAAGAAAGUACAAGUAUGAAGUCUUUAUUUUAGACACAGGGUUUUCAAUAUUUUGUGGUGGGGUGGAAUUUCAACAUGUUAAGUGAUAUAUUGUAGUAGUUUCAUUAAUUUAUUGUUUGAGUGAAUAAACAAAUAUAAUUAAUUCAGUUUUUAAUUCUGAAUAAUAAGCAUAAGAUUGUUCAUUCAUAAUGGAAAGCGACAUUACUGCUAACUUAAUUCUUAAAGAUGGGUGGGUUUUUUGUGGCAUUGUAUUUUGGCUUGCUUUAGAAUUGUGCACUAUUUUUUCUUCACUAGGUUUUUGUCCCAAUGGGUUUUGCCUAGUAAGGUUUUAAUGAGACACUUUCUUAAGUAUGGUCAUUGUAAUGGGGUUUGUUUGUUUUUUUCAGAUUUGCUUGUAUUGAACUAGUGUUCCCCUUCUCAUGAGAGUUUUGCUCUCAUGUAGCUUUAUAUUUCAAUAAUAUCUUUAGCUUUCAAAAAAAAAAAAACUUAAUUCUUAAAGAUCUCUUUUUAUGUUGUUUUCAUGUGAUUUUUUGUUUGGCUGAAGUAUGUUCCAGGUAUUGCUUUCCAUGACAGUGCAUUAUGAGUUAGUUCUUUUUGGUUAUUUUAUAAAAAUAUUCACUAAUUGGAUAUUAAUAGCCUUGCAAGAAUUCUUAAAAUUACAGUUGCCUGCAUUAGCUUCCCACAAUAAUUAAUUUUCCCUUAUUGAAUGCAAAUCUUUUUGUUGCAUUUUCAUGGCUGGUAUACCCUCUUGUCAGAUUUGUCAGAAAAAAGCAUACAUUGUCACUACACAGGAUUUGCUUUUGAUGAGGCAGGUCUCUUGGAGUUAGAUCAGUAUUAUGUUGUCAUUGUUUCAUCUUUCAUAUUUUGUGUGACUUUUUCCUUCUAACUUAUUGUUAUUUCAAAAUCUUAGUCACAUUGCAUUAACUUUUUACUAUUUGUAGCUUAUAUAACAUGAUUUCUAGACAUUAUCCUCAUUUUAAAGCUAGAUGAACUUCUAUUUGGCUAUGUAUACCUGCCAACCUUACGAGGGGCCAAGCAUUGCUGCAGCGCGUUGGUUCUUCAACUCAAGACAUUGAUGGAAACCAACAACACAAAUCAAGAGGUUUUACAAUCCUUAAAACGAUAGUAUAACAAUGCUUAAAAACAAGAUGUUGACUUCAGGAGGAAUUUUGCCUCAAUAUGCAUAUGAUGUUCUAUCAACUCUUGCAGUAGGAUGUUAACACUAUAAAAUUGAUUAGAAUGGGCUAAAGAAUUAUUAGGCGGGUGGUAAGGAUGAGCCACUUGUUCUUAGGUAGGUGGAAACUGGAAAGCUUGAUAAUUGUAUAAAAUAGAGGCAUUAAUUAGUUCCUUGCACCAUUCCAAAACCUUUCUGGGAUUCUUUGAUAGUGAUAAUGUGUUAAGAUUUAGUUUGAUUAAAUUAAAGUUUAUGCAUAAUUAUACUAGCUGUAUUAUAUGAACAUUAUCUUUUAGUUGAAGUUGUUGGGAGGUUAGUGACCACUACGUUUAUUUAGUUGUACAAAAUGUUGUGUUCUCUAAGGUGUGUUUAAUCUUUCA
Long non-coding RNA from Lotus japonicus, 3588 nucleotides. RefSeq lists it as uncharacterized. The record is from RefSeq and is a predicted model, not a curated record. Lineage: Eukaryota; Viridiplantae; Streptophyta; Magnoliopsida; Fabales; Fabaceae. The transcript has 2 exons.